Molecule: transfer RNA, 62 nt
Filed under: Ricinoides karschii
Lineage: Eukaryota; Metazoa; Arthropoda; Arachnida; Ricinulei; Ricinoididae
Description: tRNA-Thr
Rfam family: tRNA
About the family: Transfer RNA (tRNA) molecules are approximately 80 nucleotides in length. Their secondary structure includes four short double-helical elements and three loops (D, anti-codon, and T loops).
Source: RNAcentral
GCUUAUAUAGUUUAACACUUAAAACAUCCAUUUUGUAAAUAGAAGAUACCCCGUUAUAAGCA